AAUGAUGAUGUGAGCUAAGUUGGAGGUUUCCUUUUGGCUGAGAGAGAGAGAGAGAGAGACAGAGAGAGAGAGAGAGAGUUCAUCUUUUUUUUCAUCUUGGAAACCUAAGUCGAAUUCUUUCUUCCUCACCCCCAAACACUACAUUCUCUUCAUCUUUUGCUCUUUCUCUCUUCACAAAAGAGUUAGGCAUUGACUUAAGCUUGAUGAUGUUUGUUUUCUUCCUAAAAAAUGGGCUUUCUUGGCCUUUUAUUUCGCUUAAAACUAUUUAUGGUUUUUGUCAAUGUUGUUAGGCAUCUCUUUAGCUUCAUGGAAAUUUAAUUGGUUCUAUGAGAAGUUAAAUUUGUCAUGUUAGAGAAAUUUGAAAAUUGCUUUUGAACUUGCUUUUGUUGAAGUGGUAGCUCGGGAGGAGAGUUUUCAAGCCAUGUAAUUAGUUCUAAAAAAGAUUCAGUCUUGAUGAUUAAAGAGUUGUCUUAGUUAAUAUGUAUAUGUAUAGCUAUUGACUUGAAUUUGUGAUUGUUGUGAAGGUUUGAAACCCUUGUUUGACUCUACUCUAGAAGCUUUGAGCAGAAAGGAAAGCAAUCGAGGUAAGGGCACUUCGAGUUUUAUGGACUUUAAUGUGCAAAAUUGUUUGUUAGGAUUGUAUGACUCUUGAAUGAUUUAUGAAUUGAGCAUGUUUGAAUGUUAUAAAAUAAUUGUAGAGAAUCAAGAAAUCAUAUAUGGAACUUGGGUAAGGUAAAGAGGUCGAAAAUGAUGAAAAAACGCAUUUUCAGGUCUCUGGGAUGGAUCCAGUGGGCGGUGGCUCUAGCGCAACAGCACUAUGGAGGGCCAACGCAGCAACAUUGAGCCUCAGACUUCUAGCGCGGCAGCGCUAGGGGGCCAGCACAGCAGCGCUGAGCCCCUUCCUUCCCUGCGUUGGUGGAUGCUUUAAAGGCAAGAUCGGGGCUGCUUUGGGGUAUUUUUGGGUGUAGUAUGUGACUUCGAAUGUUUUGAAUGAUAUACAUGAAAUAUAUGAGUUAAGAAUUCUUGAUUGACAUAAAGAUUAAAUAUGAUUGAUAUGACUUAUGAGUUGAUUAUAUGUCCUUAAAGUAAUGAAGUGUGACAUUUUUAACUCUGAUGAGAUGUAUGCUGAUUACAUGCUCUUGAAAUGUAAAUCAGAUGAUGUUUGAUAGAUUAUAAAUGCCUUAUAUUGAUGGAGGAUGAUACACACUUGAGCUCUACGCUUGUUGGAUUAACAUAAUGAUUAAGCAUGUA
Molecule: long non-coding RNA, 1251 nt
Filed under: Lotus japonicus
Lineage: Eukaryota; Viridiplantae; Streptophyta; Magnoliopsida; Fabales; Fabaceae
Description: long non-coding RNA (LJAP_LNC000984)
Source: RNAcentral